Molecule: ribosomal RNA, 159 nt
Filed under: Exserohilum rostratum
Lineage: Eukaryota; Fungi; Ascomycota; Dothideomycetes; Pleosporales; Pleosporaceae
Description: 5.8S ribosomal RNA
Rfam family: 5.8S ribosomal RNA
About the family: 5.8S ribosomal RNA (5.8S rRNA) is a component of the large subunit of the eukaryotic ribosome. It is transcribed by RNA polymerase I as part of the 45S precursor that also contains 18S and 28S rRNA.
Source: RNAcentral
AAACUUUCAACAACGGAUCUCUUGGUUCUGGCAUCGAUGAAGAACGCAGCGAAAUGCGAUACGUAGUGUGAAUUGCAGAAUUCAGUGAAUCAUCGAAUCUUUGAACGCACAUUGCGCCCUUUGGUAUUCCAAAGGGCAUGCCUGUUCGAGCGUCAUUUG